This 444-nucleotide ribosomal RNA is filed under the name uncultured bacterium. RNAcentral describes it as "partial 16S ribosomal RNA". It matches the Rfam family "Bacterial small subunit ribosomal RNA", at positions 338 to 795 of the family's 1533-position model. The record is from RNAcentral.
CCUACGGGUGGCAUCAGUGGGGAAUAUUGGGCAAUGGAGGAAACUCUGACCCAGCAAUGCCGCGUGAAUGAAGAAGGUCUUCGGAUUGUAAAGUUCUUUAGUCAGGGAAGAAGUCAAUGACGGUACCUGAAGAAUAAGCUCCGGCUAACUACGUGUCAGCAGCCGCGGUAAUACGUAGGGAGCAAGCGUUGUUCGGAAUGACUGGGCGUAAAGGGUGCGUAGGUGGUUGUACAAGUUAGAAGUGAAAUACCCAGGGCUUAACUCGGGUGCUGCGUCGAAAACGGUAUGACUUGAGUGCAGUAGAGGUUAGUGGAAUUCCUGGUGUAGCGGUGGAAUGCGUAGAUAUCAGGAGGAACACCGGAGGCGAAGGCAGCUAACUGGACUGCAACUGACGCUGAGGAACGAAAGUGUGGGGAGCAAACAGGAUUAGAUACCCUUGUAGUC